UCUUUUGCGUUUAAUGCUCUUCAUUUUCCGAUGAACGCAUGUUUCCAAGAAACAUUAUUGUGACCCUGGGGCAUCGAAUGCAUUUUGGGGUUACCCCAUUUUGAACUCCCUUUAGUUUGGAGUGUCGCUAUUGAGUUGUGCACCAGUUCCAUUUUCAUCCCGUGAAGAAAAAAAACAAAUGCACUUCUAUUUACAUCUUGGACGUCAACGACACUGGAGCUAGACCCCGUCAAUGGUCGUAUCCCCUCCAACCUCAACAGAAAAGGUGGAAGAAGACACUAAAGCUGUCAUUUUUAACUCCAAAAAGCUUCGAUUUUUGUCUCAUUUUUAUCUCAAAUAGAGAAGGUGGAAGAAGACACUAAAGCUGCCAUUUUUAACUCCAAAAAGCUUCGAUUUUUAUCUCAAACAUAUUUGUUUUCUUUGUUUCUCUAUCUACAUAGAAGGUGAAAGAAAACACUAAGCUGUCAUUUUUAACUCCAAAAAGCUUCGAUUUUUAUCUCAUUUUUAUCUCAAACAGUUGAAGCAAUGACAGGAAUUCUUGACACAAAAUCAGUUGACUCCGGUGAUGGGGUAGCAUUCUACUUAAUGUGUAUGGGAGUUGAUAAUCAGGAAACAACAAAAUUGGAGUGAUGAUGACUCCAUUUGAUUGAUGAAGAAAUUUUUAUGUUACUUUGUUAAUGUGUUAUGUUUAUUAUCAUUUUGUUACUUUGUUAGUGUCUUAUGGUGUUAUUGAUAUCUAUCUAGAUAUUUGAAGACUAUUAUACUGUGGACUAACUUUGGAAUUAUUAGUGUAUAGAUUCUAACAGAUUCGCUACAUUAUGUUUGCA
Long non-coding RNA from Glycine soja, 827 nucleotides. RefSeq lists it as uncharacterized. The record is from RefSeq and is a predicted model, not a curated record. NCBI's taxonomy places the organism in Eukaryota, Viridiplantae, Streptophyta, Magnoliopsida, Fabales, Fabaceae. The transcript has 5 exons.